Molecule: ribosomal RNA, 530 nt
Filed under: Cellana grata
Lineage: Eukaryota; Metazoa; Mollusca; Gastropoda; Nacellidae
Description: partial 16S ribosomal RNA
Rfam family: Bacterial large subunit ribosomal RNA
Source: RNAcentral
GGCUCCUUGUAACACAGAAAUAAGGAGUCAGACCUGCUCAAUGAUUUUAAUAAUUAAAUAGCCGCGGUACCCUGACCGUGCAAAGGUAGCAUAAUCACUUGCCUCUUAAUUGGUGGCUGGCAUGAAGGGUUUAAUGAGAAUAAUACUGUCUCUUCUUUAAUCUAUUGAAACUACCCACUAGGUGAAAAGGCCUAGAUACUUAUACAAGACAAUAAGACCCUAUCGAGCUUUAGGUUAAAAUCUAUUACAAAACAAAAUCAAAAAGAGAAUACACCUUUAGUUGGGGCGACUAAGGAACAAACAAAACUUCCUAAAACAAAAACACCAACAAGUUACGACCCGGAAAAUAUCCGAUAAAAGAAAAAAGCUACCGUAGGGAUAACAGCGUAAUUUUCUUUGUGAGCUCUUAUUAAAAAGAAAGUUUGCGACCUCGAUGUUGGAUUAAGGUACCCCAAAGACGCAGCAGUCUUUAACGGUUGGUUUGUUCAACCAUUAAAACCUUACAUGAUCUGAGUUCAAAACCGGCGUAA